RNAcentral lists this non-coding RNA (28 nucleotides) under Bombyx mori (domestic silkworm). The record is from RNAcentral. Lineage: Eukaryota; Metazoa; Arthropoda; Insecta; Lepidoptera; Bombycidae.
UCGAGGAAAAUAACGAAGUCUUCAAGUA